UACGAAGGGUGCAAGCGUUACUCGGAAUUACUGGGCGUAAAGCGUGCGUAGGCGGUUUGUUAAGUCCGUUGUGAAAGCCCUGGGCUCAACCUGGGAAUUGCAGUGGAUACUGGCGAGCUAGAGUGCGGUAGAGGAUGGUGGAAUUCCCGGUGUAGCGGUGAAAUGCGUAGAGAUCAUGAGGAAGACCAGUGGCGAAGGCGGGUCUCUGGACAGUUCCUGACACUGAGACACGAAGGCCAGGGGAGCAAACGGG
RNAcentral lists this ribosomal RNA (253 nucleotides) under uncultured bacterium. Its description in RNAcentral is "partial 16S ribosomal RNA". It matches the Rfam family "Bacterial small subunit ribosomal RNA", at positions 524 to 776 of the family's 1533-position model. The record is from RNAcentral.